Glycine soja is the source of this 1582-nucleotide long non-coding RNA. RefSeq lists it as uncharacterized. Lineage: Eukaryota; Viridiplantae; Streptophyta; Magnoliopsida; Fabales; Fabaceae. The record is from RefSeq and is a predicted model, not a curated record. The transcript has 10 exons.
CGUGUAGAAGGAGUUGGUGGCAGGAGAAGGGGGGCCCGCUCCCAUUUUCGCUCUCUUCCCUCUCCCUCUGCUGCGCCGAAAACCGAUACGACACCGCUCGCCAUUGAAUCUUCCACGACACGAUUCGAUUAUUCUCGAUGACGUGUUUUGAUUGGUAAAGUACGCGCGGCGAAACGAGGCAUGGCGAAAGUGGCUAAACCAAGUUCUGUGCCCUCGAGCUCUCACCAACUUGGCUCCGGACCUUUGAAAACUGGAUCUAUGGCUAGAAAGAAGACACCGUCAGAACUUAGGACUCGGCGAUUAAGGUCAUUCUCUGAUGUUGAUAAUAGCCCAGAAUCUUUGCUGGCUUUUAGUGGCAACAACAAUGUACAUGCUUUAUAUGACUUUUUACUAAAUUACAGAUUUAACUGAGUGAGAAUAUGGGUAAUACGUUCAAAUUCAAGUAACAUGGAUUUAACUUUAGAGGAACAUUGCUUGGUAAUGAACCAUGGUUUCGAAAACAAAUCAAGCAGAGCCCUGAUUGCUAUGAUUGAGUUUUGUGACGGAACCUAGCUCAAUUGGCUUGAAUGUUGCCUUAAAAUCAACUUGUGAAAAGCCAGAAUCUAAAGCUGCUGGUAGUGAAAGCUUACAAGACCACGGAAGUACUUUUGGCAUUCCAGAAGCUGUAGUCACUUCUCGACUGUGUUCAUGUUCAUUAAAAGGCGUAAGGUAAUCUGCCAGUUUUUCCAUGUUUGAAGUAAGGAUAUUCAUCUUAUGACCAAGAGUGUCAAUCUUUCCGAUUAAGAGUUAUUGCUUUAGUAUUAUCUAGAGUAAAGGACCGGCUAGUGAGAUGCUAUAGAUCCUUAAUUCAAAUCUCAUCAAGAGAAGGUACGUUGUCUGGCAUGCGUACUUGUUGAAGGUGAUAUAUGGCCUAAACAAUUAUCAGAAAUUAAUCUGAUUUCAAGGCAGUUUUUCUGAGCUGAUCUGAAUGGGAACUGAUGAAGAAAGCACAGCUAAAGUUUCUAAACCAUCUUCUAGUUCUUCUACUCAGGAAUCAGCUACAAACAAGAAAGGGAGUUUUGACCAAAUGCUUGUUGAUGGAGCCAAUGCACGGAAGAAUUCUGUGAGCACCAUUCCUCAUUCUUCAGUGCCUGGAAAUCCCGCUGUCUCAAUGUCUCCAACUAGUCUUAAUAUUGGAAUGGACUUGUGGGACCUGCUGGUGCCGAAGCUGCAAAAAUGAGACAUAAUCAGUCUUCUGCCUCAGAAGCUGUUACUCCUCCAACCAUAAUGGGACGUGAAGUCGCGCUUGGUGAACAAUGGAUACAAGCUCAAUUCAACCUGCAAUUCCAAUGCCAGUUCAUAUUUUUCUAAAUGCUUUAAAGGAAUCUGUGUUAAGGCGCACUUCAAUAUAUAUUAUUUAUCAGGUACCAACUUAAUUGGACCGGUUACAAGUUUUGUAUUCAUAUGUCAUUGAUAAUAUGUAUUCUAUGAUUUAUAUACAAUCCACUAAGAAGAGUUGAAUGAACAAUUGAGUGCCAAGGCAGAGUUGAAUGAACUAAGAAGAGACCUUCCAGAAAGUAUGCAAUCCACUAUUUUCUUUCUA